UACAGAGGUGGCAAGCGUUGUUCGGAAUUACUGGGCGUAAAGGGCGCGUAGGCGGCCCGCCAUGUCCCGUGUGAAAGCCCCCGGCUCAACCGGGGAACGGCGCGGGAAACUAGCAGGCUUGAGUUCGGGAGAGGGAAGCGGAAUUCCGGGUGUAGCGGUGAAAUGCGCAGAUAUCCGGAGGAACACCGGUGGCGAAGGCGGCUUCCUGGACCGACACUGACGCUGAGGCGCGAAAGCUAGGGGAGCAAACGGG
RNAcentral lists this ribosomal RNA (253 nucleotides) under uncultured bacterium. RNAcentral describes it as "partial 16S ribosomal RNA". It matches the Rfam family "Bacterial small subunit ribosomal RNA", at positions 524 to 776 of the family's 1533-position model. The record is from RNAcentral.